Herpailurus yagouaroundi (jaguarundi) is the source of this 1263-nucleotide long non-coding RNA. RefSeq lists it as uncharacterized. The record is from RefSeq and is a predicted model, not a curated record. Lineage: Eukaryota; Metazoa; Chordata; Mammalia; Carnivora; Felidae. The transcript has 4 exons.
UAGGGUGGGCCCUAAAUCCAACGACCGGGGGUCCUUAGAAGAGAAAGGGGAAGGAGUGGAGAAUGAGACACAGAGGGAACCACAUGAAGACGGAGGCAGAAGGGGAGUGAGUGCCACGUCUUACAGGCCCAGGAACACGCAGGGUGGCCAGCAACCACCAGAAGUUAGGGGAGAGGCGUGGAGCGAAUUUUCUCUCAAAGCUCCAGAAGGAACCAACCUUGCUGACAUCUUGAUUUCUGACUUCUGGUCUCCAGAACUGUGAGAGCAUAAAGCCAUCCAGUGUGCUGGUUUAUGACCACAGCCCUAGAAACUAACAUGGCUUCAUAUGGUGAUCGUAGGUGUUGGAAAAGGACCUCCUGGUUGAGUAAGUUUUGGGACCUGUGAUAAACUAUAGCCUUCUUUGCUGAGGAACCGCUCAGAGCGCUUUAAGAGGCUAUGGAGCUUUCGGAAUUUCCAAGGCGGGUGGGAAUCAGUAUGGAACACUCACUUCCCAAGCAUAACUAAUCAAGAAACUCUUAUGUCUUAGCUCGGGCUGCCAUAACAGAACAUCACAGACUGAGUGAACACUUCCGGAGGCUGCAAAUCCACGAUCAAGGUGUCGGCUGGGUUGGUUUCUGGCUCAACCCUGUAACCCUGUGCAAGUAUCCAAGUCCUCCACCCUCCAGGCAUGGGGGCCAGCCUUCUGGAUAGCUAGAUGCCACGGCUCUACUGUGCAUCAUCGAGAGACAUGAUGGGUCAGCCCAGGGCACUGUGGGAAGGCAGGAAGCGGCCCUGACCUGAAUGUGGAUGAGCUUAGGAGCUGAGGAAUCAUUUAUUCACUCAAUAUGUAUCGGGCGCGGCCUCCUAUGACCCGAUGUGGGGAAGGCACAAGAGAAUGAGAUGGUGUGGCACAUUCUUCUGGAACUUUCAGACACAGACAAUAAGCACGAAAAGAAACAAAAUCAUUCCAGACUGUGGACAGACGCUCAUGCCCCCUGAAAGGUGGACUCUUUGUUUGUGAUGCCCCACAACACAGCGCCUCUCAGGCUUACCUUCCUCUAGAGACUUGCCUUCUGGACAUUUUGUAUGAGUGGAGUCACAGAACAUGUGGAUUUUGUGACUGACUUCUUUCACUUUCCAAGGCUCACUCAAGCUACAGGAUGUAUCUCUACUUCAUUCCAUUAUACGCCAAAUGAUAUUCCAUUAUAUGAAUGUAUCACAUUCUAUUUUUCCAUGUGUCCAUUGAUGGACAUUUGGGUUGUUUCCACCUUUUGACUAUCCUGA